AGGAUGAACGCUGGCGGCGUGCUUAACACAUGCAAGUCGAACGAUGAAGGCUGGAGCUUGCUCUGGCUGGAUUAGUGGCGAACGGGUGAGUAACACGUGAGUAACCUGCCCCAGACUCUGGGAUAAGCGCUGGAAACGGCGUCUAAUACCGGAUACGAGCUUCCACCGCAUGGUGAGGAGCUGGAAAGAUUUCGGUCUGGGAUGGACUCGCGGCCUAUCAGCUUGUUGGUGAGGUAAUGGCUCACCAAGGCGACGACGGGUAGCCGGCCUGAGAGGGUGACCGGCCACACUGAGACUGAGACACGGCCCAGACUCCUACGGGAGCAGCAGUGGGAAUAUUGCACAAGUGGGCGAAGCCUGAUGCAGCGACGCGCGUGAGGAUGAGCCUUCGGGCUGUAACCUCUUCAGUCAGGACGAAGCGUGAGUGACGGUACGUGCAAGAAGAAGCGACCGGCUAACUACGU
Molecule: ribosomal RNA, 464 nt
Filed under: uncultured soil bacterium
Lineage: Bacteria
Description: bacterial SSU rRNA
Rfam family: Bacterial small subunit ribosomal RNA
Source: RNAcentral